Acanthosepion pharaonis is the source of this 101-nucleotide non-coding RNA. Lineage: Eukaryota; Metazoa; Mollusca; Cephalopoda; Sepiida; Sepiidae. The record is from the annotation of a GenBank genome assembly.
UACAGUCAUAUCACGCUGAGACACCGGUACACAGAAGUUAAGCAACAUCGAGCCUGGUUAGUACCAUGAUGGCUGACUUCUUGGGAAUAUCAGAUGCUGAA